ACCAAUUCUAGUGAGUUAUCCGUUUCACUAGAUCAAUGGCUUGGACGCCAAAUUGACAUUGUGGCCAUUCUGAUCUGUGGAUUUUCAAUGCCAUUUGAUCCGGGAAACUCCAUAGACAUCU
Argentina anserina (silverweed cinquefoil) is the source of this 121-nucleotide small nucleolar RNA. Lineage: Eukaryota; Viridiplantae; Streptophyta; Magnoliopsida; Rosales; Rosaceae. The record is from RefSeq and is a predicted model, not a curated record.